AUCUUCACAUUAUUAAAAUAAAGAUGUCCUCAUUAGAGAAACAACAAUAACAACAACAACAAUAAUAAUAAUACUUCUAGUUACUGGUGCCUAAACACAGAUUUUUGAUAAAUACAUUAUUAUACCAUAUAGUGUUAUAGUUAAUUGAAUAAAAACACUAUAACUUCAUAAUAACGAAUUCCUGUAAAAUCUACAUUUAGGCGUUCGCACCUAAGCCUUAUUGCAUAUCAAAACAAAUGCGAAGAGCAAAGAAAUAGAGAUAAUAAUGCGAUUUUUUAGAAAAUGAUCAACUACUACAGUACUUGGUGGUGGAGAAAGAAACUAAAGAAUGAGUGAAAUUAUAUUACGAGCUAAGUUAAAUUUUUUGGUAAAAAUCCUGUAUCUAUAGAAGGGUUCGAUUAGAAGAAUUAUAUAAUACAAGAAUUUUUGUAAUUACAGCACCUAAAUGUAGAGAUGACGAUGGUAAUGACUUCUAGUAUUUCAGGAAAAUCAUUUUCUUUUACCUUUUUUUUUUAAAAAUUACAAGAGAUGAUAUCUUUAUUUAGUUAACAUUGUGAAUAAAUACAAAAAUGAGCCGGAUGUUAUUCAAUCAUGAGACGGCAUUAGCUUGUUCCAAAGCUAUUUGUGCUAAUGAAUGACCUACUUCAUUACAAAUUCUCGGAGCAUGAUGAAUUUAAUUUGCUGCAAACUCUUCAAACAUUCUUGGAUUUCAGAAACAAUCCAAAAAAUUUCAGUGCUUCUUCCUUUCUUGUUUAGCACCAGGUCAACUACCUCCUGAGCAUAAGUUUCAGCCACCAGAGGAAAACAACGUGCACUUUUUGCAAGCCCUAAACUAAUCUUGUGGCUUCAGAUUUAGCAAAAGCUACAUCUCUAUGGAGUUUAGGCCAUCCUGCAGGCGGGGACUCCACUGCUGUCUUGUUUCAGAUUUCUUUCCCAAAGUUGCCUAAUUCUUCUGCAAGAUUGCACCUCUACUUCUGCCCUGGCAAGUGAUAUUUGAGAAUCUCCAUUCUUAUCUUUGAAGAAGAAGAGAUUUCGAGGAUGCCAAGGAAUCCAGCAUGUUGCAACUAUUAGCUCCAUAUUAGAUUUGCUUCUCUUCCUUGCUAUCUCCAACACAACUAAAGAUAUCUAUGCUUUCCGACUAUUUAAGAUCUUCUUCAUAAGGUGUAAGCCUCCAUAUUUUACUAGCUACAUUUCGAAACCAAGGGCUUUGCAGUUUCCUCUUCUUUCAAGGAUUUACUGUUGUAGGCAGUAAACUUCUUGCUGCUCUCCACACAAAGAUUUUAACUUUUGCUGGUAAAAUCUAAAGACUAAAUGACAUUCCAUGAACAUUGCCAAUUGUUUGAGGUGCUAGGUUGAUCAGGAAAGUUUAGCUUUAAGGCCACCACUCACCCUUUUUAUCAAAAAGCCAUAAAGGUUGAUCAGGACUAGGAACUCUUGGUAAUGGAGUAUUUAAAAUCUGCUUGAUAUCUUCUUCCAUAAAGCUCCGUUGAAUCAGAUCCUCCUUCCAUUUGUUGUCAUUUUUAACCAUCUCAGAUACGGUGGAGUCUAGGAAAAGUUUUUGGGGAGAAAAAGGCUUAAAUGUAUUAGUCUUGGCAGCCAACAACUCUGAUAAGUCUAAGUACUCUUUCCAUCACCAAAUCACCAAUCCUCAUUCCUCCAUCUCAAACCUUUGUGGAUAACCUAUCUCUCCCAUAAGAUGCUUCUCCAAACAUAAGGUGGUUUUGUUCCUAUUUUUGCCUAAAAAAAAUCAAUACUUUUUAAAUAUCUAGCUUAUCUUAGCAUUAAAGAUUUAAGGUGUUGGAUGAAUCUCCUAUCUUGUUUAGCCGCCAUUUUCUUUUACUUCAACAAGGAGUUGACCACUCAACUAAUAAGUAGUUUUUUCAAUUUGAAUUAAUGGUGAGUUUACUUGUUGCAUUGGAGAAUCGAAAUAAGAAUGAUUAAUGUUAUUUACUUGAUAAAAAUAGAGAUGAGAAGGGAAAUAAAACUUAUGGGGCUCACAUAUUUUUUGGAUUAAAGAAUGAGAACUUGAUUCCCAUUAGAGAGGUAGGGAACCAAGUUUGCAUUACUUAAAACUUUCCAUUUUACCCCACCCAAAUUUCAUAAUUUCACUUUUGUCCUGAAAUAAAAUUAUAUUAUAUUGUUAUUGUUAUUGCUAUUAUUAUUAUUCUUAUUUUUUAAUUAUUGUUAGAAUGGGUUAUUUUAGUAACUUGUAACAAGUCGUUGCAAUUUCAAAAUAAAAUAAACAUAUUAAUGACAAUACAGUUUAUUUCGAUUAUGAUUUAUACAACUAAAGUAAAUAAUUUAUUUUGAUUCGUAUUUCAUAUUCUGAACCCAGUCCAUUAUGAUUACCGUUUAGUAAACGCAUCAUAAGUUAGAAGGGGAAAAAUUCAAGUUGAAGAUAAAUUGAAUAAAUCUUUGGUCUCUUAUGGAUGACAUGUCAUUUACAACUUAAUUAAAUAGCUUAUAUGUCAUACAUACCAUGGAUUGUGUAUGAUAUGUCAGUAAUUUAUUCAUAGAGUAGAUGACAUGUUAUUUACUAACUCUGAAGUGAGAAUUGUCUGAUAUGUCAUAGUUCACAUAUACAUAGAUGACAUGUCAUAUUAUGAAGUAAUUGAGUUAUUUAAAUAAAAUUUUAAAGUAAUUUGACUUAUACACUAUAUAUACGAGUAUCAUGAAUCAAAUAUUCAU
This 2688-nucleotide long non-coding RNA is filed under the name Citrus x clementina. RNAcentral describes it as "Citrus clementina (C. clementina) long non-coding RNA (CCLE_LNC003843)". The record is from RNAcentral. Lineage: Eukaryota; Viridiplantae; Streptophyta; Magnoliopsida; Sapindales; Rutaceae.